CAGCAGCCGCGGUAAUACAGAGGGUGCAAGCGUUAAUCGGAAUUACUGGGCGUAAAGCGCGCGUAGGUGGUUUGUUAAGUUGGAUAUGAAAUCCCCGGGCUCAACCUGGGAACUGCAUCCAAAACUGGCAAGCUAGAGUAUGGUAGAGGGUGGUGGAAUUUCCUGUGUAGCGGUGAAAUGCGUAGAUAUAGGAAGGAACACCAGUGGCGAAGGCGACCACCUGGACUGAUACUGACACUGAGGUGCGAAAGCGUGGGGAGCAAACAGGAUUAGAUACCCCAGUAGUCCCUGUCUCUUAUAC
This 301-nucleotide ribosomal RNA is filed under the name uncultured bacterium. RNAcentral describes it as "partial 16S ribosomal RNA". It matches the Rfam family "Bacterial small subunit ribosomal RNA", at positions 509 to 807 of the family's 1533-position model. The record is from RNAcentral.